AGAGUUUGAUUCUGGCUCAGGACGAACGCUGGCGGCGUGCUUAACACAUGCAAGUCGAACGGAGCACCUUCGAAAGAGACUUCGGUCAAUGGAAAAGAAUGCUUAGUGGCGGACGGGUGAGUAACGCGUGAGGAACCUGCCUUUCAGUGGGGGACAACAGUUGGAAACGACUGCUAAUACCGCAUAACGUACGGGUAUCGCAUGGUAUCUGUACCAAAGAUUUAUCGCUGAGAGAUGGCCUCGCGUCUGAUUAGCUAGUUGGUAGGGUAACGGCCUACCAAGGCGACGAUCAGUAGCCGGACUGAGAGGUUGGCCGGCCACAUUGGGACUGAGAUACGGCCCAGACUCCUACGGGAGGCAGCAGUGGGGAAUAUUGGGCAAUGGGCGAAAGCCUGACCCAGCAACGCCGCGUGAAGGAAGAAGGCUUUCGGGUUGUAAACUUCUUUUGACAGGGAAGAGCAGAAGACGGUACCUGUCGAAUAAGCCACGGCUAACUACGUGCCAGCAGCCGCGGUAAUACGUAGGUGGCAAGCGUUGUCCGGAUUUACUGGGU
RNAcentral lists this ribosomal RNA (553 nucleotides) under uncultured bacterium. RNAcentral's name for it is "bacterial SSU rRNA". It matches the Rfam family "Bacterial small subunit ribosomal RNA", at positions 8 to 559 of the family's 1533-position model. The record is from RNAcentral.